Molecule: ribosomal RNA, 208 nt
Filed under: uncultured delta proteobacterium
Lineage: Bacteria; Deltaproteobacteria
Description: partial 16S ribosomal RNA
Rfam family: Bacterial small subunit ribosomal RNA
Source: RNAcentral
CGCGCAGGCGGAUUGAUAAGUCAGGUGUGAAAUCUCGGGGCUCAACCUCGAAACUGCGCCUGAAACUAUUAGUCUAGAAUGUCGGAGGGGGCAGGGGAAUUUCACGUGUAGGGGUAAAAUCCGUAGAGAUGUGAAGGAACACCGGAGGCGAAGGCGCCUGCCUGGACGACUAUUGACGCUGAGGCGCGAAAGCGUGGGGAGCAAACAG